This 731-nucleotide ribosomal RNA is filed under the name Brevicellicium sp. RNAcentral's name for it is "partial small subunit ribosomal RNA". It matches the Rfam family "Bacterial small subunit ribosomal RNA", at positions 426 to 943 of the family's 1533-position model. Lineage: Eukaryota; Fungi; Basidiomycota; Agaricomycetes; Trechisporales; Hydnodontaceae. The record is from RNAcentral.
GAAUCUUUAGUAAAUUGGGUCUAAAGAUAAGGGAUUGGAGCAAAUUGAGUGUACUUUCCUAUAAGUGUUGUCCAAAUACUGGUGCCAGAAGACUCGGUAAGGCCAGAAACGCGAACGUUAGUAGUCUUGAUCAGGCGUAAAGGGUUAGUAGGCAGCUUUGUGAUUGCAAAUCUUUUCAUUGGUUUUCAAUUAACUAUUUAUCUUUUUAUAAGCUAAAUAGGUAAAACCAUCUUAAUCUAUUAAUUAGAUUUAACUAUCUUCAUAAGUGAAAUUAAAGCAUUAAUAGGUUAUUAUAUUUUUAUUAAUUCUGUUUUUAACCGUAUUAUAAAUUUAUAAGAAAUAAAGGUAAUCUGAAACAAAGAUAGAAUCUUGUCGGAGAAGUUACGUUAUAUGCUCGGUGUAGGAAUGAAAUCCGUAAAUAUCUGGUGGACUCCUAAGGGCGAAAGCUAUCCUUCUAGAAAAGAUUGACGCUAAGGAACGUAGGUUGGGACAGAAAAUAGGAUUAGAGACCCUCGUAUUCCCAUCUGUUAACGAUGAAUGGUUAGUCGUUCGGUUUUAAAAAUUAAGUGCCUUUAUAUUAUAUAUAUUUAAAAAAUAAAAAUAUUUGUAAAGAGUUCUGAUUGAUAACUGGGAAACGUAACUAACGUGAUGACCAUUCCGCCUUGUGAGUACAACUACAAAGUUGAAAACAAAAAAAUUAGUCGGUUUCGGAGCAAACGAAGUGAAGCAUG